Molecule: ribosomal RNA, 253 nt
Filed under: uncultured bacterium
Lineage: Bacteria
Description: partial 16S ribosomal RNA
Rfam family: Bacterial small subunit ribosomal RNA
Source: RNAcentral
UACGGAGGGUGCGAGCGUUGUCCGGAAUCACUGGGCGUAAAGGGCGCGUAGGCGGCCUGAUAAGUAGGGGGUGAAAUCCUGUGGCUUAACCGCAGGGCUGCCUUCUAAACUGUCGGGCUAGAGCACGGUAGAGGCAGAUGGAAUUCCCGGUGUAGCGGUGGAAUGCGUAGAGAUCGGGAAGAACAUCAGUGGCGAAGGCGGUCUGCUGGGCCGUUGCUGACGCUGAGGCGCGACAGCGUGGGGAGCAAACAGG